Long non-coding RNA from Columba livia (rock pigeon), 337 nucleotides. RefSeq lists it as uncharacterized. The record is from RefSeq and is a predicted model, not a curated record. The transcript is spliced from 2 exons. Lineage: Eukaryota; Metazoa; Chordata; Aves; Columbiformes; Columbidae.
GGAAGCACUCACGGUGAGGCGAGCCGAGGACGGCUGAGCCCCUCCGGCACACACUCCCUCUGAAGCCCGGCCCCGAGUUCUCCCCGCCUCGCACUUCUGUCCCCGUACGGGGAGGCUACAGGUUCGUUCCCCUUGCUCCCCGCGCACAGCUCCCGAAACACUUUGGAAAGAGCAGAAAAUGCUGGUUUUAACCGAAGUCAAACCGAGGAGAACCUGUAUUACAACAUCAAAGCGAAUGGAGACGUUACAAAAUUGGUGGAGUUACACCACCAUCUGUCGUUAAGCUUCGGGACUACAAAAGUUCAGACGUAUAAUAAAUCUUAAUGAGAACUGGCAA